UAGACUGUUCCCUCUGCUUCCUCUGAGACCACUAGGUCCCGGCCGCAUGGUCUCCCACACCCCAGCCCCUCCUGCAAGCUUCCCUGUGCCAUACCUUCCAGGGGACCCAGGUGCCCCAUGCUCUAGUGUCCUCCCAACCACUGGCAUCUUGACUCCUCACCCAGGACCUCAAGAUUCCUGGAAAGAAGCCCCAGCCCCCAGGGGAAACCUCCAGAGGAACAAGCUGCCAGAGACAUUUAUGCCCCCAGCACCAAUUACUGCUCCAGUUAUGAGCCUCACCCCUGAGCUACAAGGGAUUCUUCCCUCACAGCCCCCUGUCUCCAGUGUGAGUCAUGCUCCCCCAGGAGUUCCAGGAGAACUCAGCCUGCAGGUGACAAGGACAAUGUAUUCCCCUCCCUUGGGAAACCUUCCAGCCCUCCUUGGGUGCAGGUCAUGGUAGAUGGGCCUCAUUCCUCAAGGCAUGUGCUGAGGGAGACUGGGGGCAGGUACCAGGUGUCCUUACUGCAGAGAAAGGGAGGCUGCUCAUCUCCCCAACUCUGCUGUAAUGGGAACAGUGUGACUGUGAGUCACUGGGGACUAGUCCUUAGGGAAGCCAUGAGAAGGACAGCUUGCCCCUCUGGCCUUUCUCCCUGCUUCUUUAUCAGCAGCUUCAGCACCUGCCACCUGAGAAGAUGGAAAGGAAGGAGCUGCCCCCAGAGCAUCAGUCCUUGAAGAGCAGCUUUGAGGCGCUUCUCCAACGCUGCUCCCUGUCUGCAACUGACUUAAAGACAAAAAGGAAGCUGGAAGAGGCAGCCCAGCGUCUGGAGUAUCUAUAUGAGAAGCUCUGUGAGGGGACAGUAAGUACAGCUAGCUGUGCUCCCACUGCCUCCUACACUUCCACCAUCACCAUGGCCAAAGGAAGCCCAGUGUCUUUUCUUCCCAUAGGUGUCACUGACCUGGGUUCCCCACAAAAUACGUGCAUCUUGCCUGGACUGGGCCCCAGAACUUAAGUCUUCCCUUAUCCCUUCCAUGCUGCCAGGGUAGGAGCUGGGUUGGGCUCACUAACCUAAGGGUCAUUCCCUCCACAGCUCUCACCUCAUGUCGUGGCUGGGCUCCAUGAGGUUGCCCGAUGUGUGGAUGCAGGAAGCUUUGAGCAGGGCCUUGCAGUGCAUGCCCAGGUGGCGGGCUGUAGCAGCUUCAGCGAGGUGUCCAGCUUCAUGCCUAUCCUGAAGGCUGUCCUCAUCAUCGCUCAUAAGCUGCUGGUCUAAACCAGGCAGCCUCUCUUGCUAGGAGGCCACUUCUGCUGUUACAUAACUCCUCCCUGCAGAAGAGGGGACUUCUGCAACAGAUUCUGUUUCUUUUUCCCGACUCUUUUCCUUGCUGCCAGGUAUGUGAUGCUGUAGGCUUGGCUCCAAACCAGCUGAGUGCCUGCUUUUUACUCCUUUAUGUCUGGCCUUCUAGGAUCUGUCCAAGACACUCUCAGGCCUGGAGGCAGGGCAUAGAAUCAGUUCUUCACUCUCCCUAAUACUACACUCUGUAAGGACCUGGGGCAGGAUAUCUUCUCCCCCAGGGAUCUUCUAUUUAAGUGGCUUCUGAGAGGGUGAACAGGAUUGUUACUUUUAAGCCUACCUCUGCUGUGACCCAUCAUGUGGGUCUUUUGUUUCUCCCUUCUGUGGUUUAUGAGCCUGCCCUUACCUUUUCCCUGCCUCUGACUUGGUAUUUCCAGGUCCGUAUUUCUCUGUAGCCCAGGGUCUGGGGUAGAGCUGACUGCUGUUCACCCUUUGAACAACUCAUGGACGUGAGGGAUGGGUGCUGAGCAGAACCAAGAGAGGAAACUUUGGCGCUGUUAAAAUGGAAUUUCUCAUCUGCCGGCAUUAUUAAGGGUGGGCUAGGUUGGAUGGAAGGUGAAAGGGAUGAACUGCCUUUUGCUGGAAGCUGUCUUAGGCUGUGAGACAGGAGCAGGGGAACCACAGCCUAUGGGGAACUGCCCUUGACUCCACCUAUGUUGGAGCCUUAGCCCAAGGCCAUUCCUUCUGUGAUGAUAAAGCCCAGUUCUGGAAUUGGAGCCAUAUUAAGGAAUGAUUCUCUUCCAGCGCUGCUCCUCAAGGGUUGGGGGUCCUUCUCCCUCGCAGCCACCACAUGUCUCAGGGCUACCUUCUCCGAUUGGAUUUGCAUUUGUGGCACUGUCUUUGAUGCAGUGAUGUACUUAAUGGUGCAAUAAAGCUGCUUCGAUUUGGU
This 2217-nucleotide long non-coding RNA is filed under the name Homo sapiens (human). RNAcentral describes it as "non-protein coding lnc-NDUFB8-2:3". Lineage: Eukaryota; Metazoa; Chordata; Mammalia; Primates; Hominidae. The record is from RNAcentral.